GGAGCUGUAUCGAAGUGGUCAUAACGAGGCGGUCUUGAAAACCGUUUGUCCGCGAGGGCACGUGGGUUCGAAUCCCACCGGCUCCGCCA
This 89-nucleotide transfer RNA is filed under the name Clostridiales bacterium. RNAcentral describes it as "tRNA-Ser". It matches the Rfam family "tRNA". From Rfam's summary of the family: Transfer RNA (tRNA) molecules are approximately 80 nucleotides in length. Their secondary structure includes four short double-helical elements and three loops (D, anti-codon, and T loops). The record is from RNAcentral. Lineage: Bacteria; Bacillati; Bacillota; Clostridia; Eubacteriales. RNAcentral also lists the same sequence under 1 other name.